UCAAACCUUUCUUCUCUAUCGUAGCUAGAGGACAUGUGGACGAAAUUCAUUCAUUUAAUCAUUAGUUGAUCUAAAGUCAACGAUCUGACCAAACGUUUAUUUUAUUUUUUAUUUAAUUAUUUUAUACGGGGAGAUCAUUGACUUUUGAUCAAUAAAGGUCAAAUAGACAAAUUUCGUUCACAUGUCCUCCAACUGCACUUGAGAUGAAAGGUUUGA
This 216-nucleotide microRNA precursor is filed under the name Olea europaea subsp. europaea. The record is from RNAcentral. Lineage: Eukaryota; Viridiplantae; Streptophyta; Magnoliopsida; Lamiales; Oleaceae.